This 1153-nucleotide long non-coding RNA is filed under the name Bemisia tabaci. RNAcentral's name for it is "lncRNA ENSASIAIIG002113". Lineage: Eukaryota; Metazoa; Arthropoda; Insecta; Hemiptera; Aleyrodidae. The record is from RNAcentral.
GCGAAGAGAUUUAAAUUUGCCAAGAGUGUAAAGAGACCUUACUAUCGAAGGAACCUUUGAAAAUCGAGUGAGUCAAAGAGACAUAUGAGUAUCUCAGUGGUUUGGAUCGUGAAGGUUUAAACCGACCCUAUGACUUUGCAUUUCAUCUAUGUAUGGAUGCAUUCAGGCUGAUCCAAUCACUAAUUUCCCAGAAGUACGAAGAAAAUUGUGUGAAACUUCAUGACCAACGAAAAGCCUUCACCACUCUUCGAGUGAAAUUGUGCGAGCAAUCUCUGGACGAUACGCUUUUCUCAUGCAAGACUGUCUCCUGCAAUUUAACUUUAAAGAAGGUUGUCAAGGCAUUUAUGAGAACCCUUGCAAAUAUCUUUUAAAUAAUUAUAGGUACCCAGACACUGAAUGAAAUGAAUAUGACCCACCAAAUUAUCGAAAACAUUCAGACAUACUUUGGUUUCUAAUUAUUAUGCUUCGUUUAAUCUCUUAUUAACGAACUUUUUCGUUAACGUUUAGGUGUGUCCAUGAAAUCUGCUGGCUGCUGAACGUGAGCUGAAUUAUGAAUUACUUUUGAGACGCCACGUUACCGACUGCUGAGACGCCAGGACCCGAGGACUUAACCUUCAGGACGCUUCAAAAUGGAGAUGAUACGUCUAUAAGUAAUCCAUCAGACAAAGUUCUGAAUUAAUGACAAUACCAGAUAAAGUUGCCGAAAAAUUUAUGGAUAAAAUAUCUCGCCGCCCAACAUUUACCUGCAUGUGCUGUGACUUCAAGCAUUUUAAGGAGGCAGUUUCCCACAUCAUUUCAGAGGGCUAUGACGGAGCUUUGAAAAAUGUGUAUCGGUUAUCAAAAGGCCUACCUUCACACACAGCAUCCGAAAAUGAAGAUAGAGGACUAGGGAAGAGGAAACGAGCCCAUCGUCCGUUAUUUCUCUGUCCGUUUAUGUUUUUCCUGAAAAUUAAAAGGUAAAAACCCCAAUUCAAGUAGUUAAUAAAUGAUGACCCCAAAAAACAAAAAUAGAUUUUUGUAAAAAAUUUCGGCCUAAUCCCAAAAAACUCUCUAAUUAUUAUUUUAAGAACAAAUUAUACCAAAAACAUACGAUAGCUCUGCCGUUUGAAUUCAUCAUUUAAAAGUAGGUGAUAUCAAAACGGCCCAAUUUCCC